This 253-nucleotide ribosomal RNA is filed under the name uncultured bacterium. RNAcentral's name for it is "partial 16S ribosomal RNA". It matches the Rfam family "Bacterial small subunit ribosomal RNA", at positions 524 to 776 of the family's 1533-position model. The record is from RNAcentral.
UACGUAGGGUGCGAGCGUUGUCCGGAAUUAUUGGGCGUAAAGGGCUCGUAGGCGGUUUGUUGCGUCUAUCGUGAAAACCUGCAGCUUAACUGUGGGCUUGCGGUGGAUACGGGCAGACUUGAGUUCGGUAGGGGAGACUGGAAUUCCUGGUGUAGCGGUGAAAUGCGCAGAUAUCAGGAGGAACACCGGUGGCGAAGGCGGGUCUCUGGGCCGAUACUGACGCUGAGGAGCGAAAGCGUGGGGAGCGAACAGG